RNAcentral lists this ribosomal RNA (229 nucleotides) under uncultured bacterium. RNAcentral describes it as "partial 16S ribosomal RNA". It matches the Rfam family "Bacterial small subunit ribosomal RNA", at positions 118 to 347 of the family's 1533-position model. The record is from RNAcentral.
UGGGCAACCUGCCCCAGACACAGGGAUAACCCCGGGAAACCAGGGCUAAUACCGGAUACUCCGGUCGAGCCGCAUGACUCGAUCGGGAAAGCUCCGACGGUCUGGGAUGGGCCCGCGGCCUAUCAGCUUGUUGGUGGGGUAACGGCCUACCAAGGCGACGACGGGUAGCUGGUCUGAGAGGACGACCAGCCACACUGGAACUGAGACACGGCCCAGACUCCUACGGGAG